AGAAUCAACGCUGGCGGCGUGCCUCAGACAUGCAAGUCGAACGCGAAAGUCCCCUUCGGGGGGCGAGUAGAGUGGCGCACGGGUGAGUAACACGUAGGUAAUCUACCUUUGGAUGGGGAAUAACAAUCGGAAACGAUUGCUAAUACCGCAUAAUGCAGCGGCACCUAAUGGUGACAGUUGUUAAAGCGGGGGAUCGAAAGACCUCGCGUCUAAAGAGGAGCCUGCGGCGGAUUAGCUAGUUGGUAAGGUAAUGGCUUACCAAGGCGACGAUCC
This 273-nucleotide ribosomal RNA is filed under the name uncultured bacterium. Its description in RNAcentral is "partial small subunit ribosomal RNA". It matches the Rfam family "Bacterial small subunit ribosomal RNA", at positions 26 to 282 of the family's 1533-position model. The record is from RNAcentral.